Molecule: ribosomal RNA, 301 nt
Filed under: uncultured bacterium
Lineage: Bacteria
Description: partial 16S ribosomal RNA
Rfam family: Bacterial small subunit ribosomal RNA
Source: RNAcentral
CAGUAGCCGCGGGAAUACGGAGGGGGCCAGCGUUGUUCGGAAUUACUGGGCGUAAAGCGCACGUAGGCGGCUUGGUAAGUUAGAGGUGAAAGCCUGGAGCUCAACUCCAGAACUGCCUUUGAUACUGAAGAUCUUGAGUUCGGGAGAGGUGAGUGGAACUGCGAGUGCAGAGGUGAAAUUCGUAGAUAUUCGCAAGAACACCAGUGGCGAAGGCGGCUCACUGGCCCGAUACUGACGCUGAGGCACGAAAGCGUGGGGAGCAAACAGGAUUAGAUACCCGCGUAGUCCCUGUCUCUUAUAC